UCCUACGGGGCGCAGCAGUGGGGAAUAUUGCACAAUGGGGGGAACCCUGAUGCAGCGACGCCGCGUGAGUGAAGAAGUAUUUCGGUACGUAAAGCUCUAUCAGCAGGGAAGAAAAAAGGACGGUACCUGAGUAAGAAGCCCCGGCUAAAUACGUGCCAGCAGCCGCGGUAAUACGUAUGGGGCAAGCGUUAUCCGGAUUUACUGGGUGUAAAGGGAGCGCAGGCGGCUUGGCAAGUCUGAUGUGAAAGGCUGGGGCUCAACCCCAGGACUGCAUUGGAAACUGUUAGGCUAGAGUGUCGGAGAGG
This 305-nucleotide ribosomal RNA is filed under the name uncultured bacterium. RNAcentral's name for it is "bacterial SSU rRNA". It matches the Rfam family "Bacterial small subunit ribosomal RNA", at positions 337 to 657 of the family's 1533-position model. The record is from RNAcentral.